This 240-nucleotide ribosomal RNA is filed under the name uncultured bacterium. Its description in RNAcentral is "partial 16S ribosomal RNA". It matches the Rfam family "Bacterial small subunit ribosomal RNA", at positions 111 to 334 of the family's 1533-position model. The record is from RNAcentral.
UAACACGUAAACAACCUGCCUUCAGGAUGGGGACAACAGACGGAAACGACUGCUAAUACCGAAUAAGUUCCAAGAGCCGCAUGGCCCAUGGAAGAAAAGGUGGCCUCUACCUGUAAGCUAUCGCCUGAAGAGGGGUUUGCGUCUAAUUAGCUGGUUGGAGGGGUAACGGCCCACCAAGGCGACGAUCAGUAGCCGGUCUGAGAGGAUGAACGGCCACACUGGAACUGAGACACGGUCCAG